This 254-nucleotide ribosomal RNA is filed under the name uncultured bacterium. RNAcentral describes it as "partial 16S ribosomal RNA". It matches the Rfam family "Bacterial small subunit ribosomal RNA", at positions 524 to 776 of the family's 1533-position model. The record is from RNAcentral.
UACGAAGGGGACUAGCGUUGUUCGGAAUUACUGGGCGUAAAGGGCUCGUAGGCGGCCAACUAAGUCAGACGUGAAAUCCCUCGGCUUAACCGGGGAACUGCGUCUGAUACUGGAUGGCUUGAGGUUGGGAGAGGGAUGCGGAAUUCCAGGUGUAGCGGUGAAAUGCGUAGAUAUCUGGAGGAACACCGGUGGCGAAGGCGGCAUCCUGGACCAAUUCUGACGCUGAGUGAGCGAAAGCCAGGGGAGCAAACGGG